RNAcentral lists this small nucleolar RNA (94 nucleotides) under Solanum tuberosum (potato). RNAcentral describes it as "snoRNA snosnR60_Z15". It matches the Rfam family "Small nucleolar RNA snR60/Z15/Z230/Z193/J17". From Rfam's summary of the family: The members of this family belong to the C/D class of snoRNAs which contain the C (UGAUGA) and D (CUGA) box motifs. Most of the members of the box C/D family function in directing site-specific 2'-O-methylation of substrate RNAs. The record is from Rfam by way of RNAcentral. Lineage: Eukaryota; Viridiplantae; Streptophyta; Magnoliopsida; Solanales; Solanaceae.
CUGGGUCAUAUGAUGAUUAGAAGCAUAGUUCAAAUGAAAUCUAUGUGAUUACAAAACUUCUUUUUUAGUCUUUCGCUCCUAUCUGAUGACUCUU